Molecule: ribosomal RNA, 458 nt
Filed under: uncultured bacterium
Lineage: Bacteria
Description: bacterial SSU rRNA
Rfam family: Bacterial small subunit ribosomal RNA
Source: RNAcentral
UACGGAAGGCAGCAGUGGGGAAUAUUGCACAAUGGGCGAAAGCCUGAUGCAGCUAUGCCGCGUGUAUGAAGAAGGCCUUAGGGUUGUAAAGUACUUUUAUCGGGGAGGAAAAAACAAAACUAAUAAUUUUAUUUCUUGACGUUACCCGAAAAAGAAGCACCGGCUAACUCCGUGCCAGCAGCCGCGGUAAUACGGAGGGUGCUAGCGUUAAUCAGAAUUACUGGGCGUAAAGAGCACGUAGGUGGUUUUUUUAAAGUCAGAUGUGAAAUCCCCUGGGCUUUAACCUAGGAACUGCAUUUUGAAACUGAAAUACUAGAGUAUCGUAGAGGGAGGUAGAAUUCUAGGUGUAGCGGUGAAAUGCGUAGAUAUCUGGAGGAAUACCUGUGGCGAAAGCGGCCUCCUAAACGAAUACUGACACUGAGGUGCGAAAGCGUGGGGAGCAAACAGGAUUAGAUACC